UUUCUCUGUUUACAUCACAAAUAUUUACCUUUGUGCUAUCAUUGUCUACAGUAUUCAUUUCAGGAGCACUGUAUAGGUCUAUAGCCUAGAACUGAAGACUACACCAUAGAGCCUUGUCAUGCAGAAGGUGAUACCUCUGAGGUUUGUGGAAGCACUCUGUGAUUUUUACACAACUGCAAAAUCACCCCCAGACAAAUACAUCAGAUCAUAUCCCCACUGGACUUACAGUGUGUGUGCGCUCCUCCUCUCCCAACAGGUAAAAGCACAUUCAAAUGUAUCCACGCUUUAUGAAAAGAAGCAAAACGUCUCCUUGACUGUCUUAUCUCUCCCUUAUUCGCUCUCCCUUCACAGCCAAGCUCCUCGGUACCUGUCGCUGUCAUCACUGCUCAUUCACUCUUCCACAGGCUAUGUUCUGUCAUCCCUCACCGUACAAUCACAUCUACUCCACCAAAGAUACCGUGAUCCUUGCUUGCCAGAUUCAAGAGACGCAUUUUGGCCCUGACUUGCUUGGCCUCCCUGAGCCUCCAGAAUUGACUGCUGCUUUCCUGAACCUUCCUGGGCGACAUGAUUCCGUCACUCUUGGUUUUCCUAUUGUGCAGGAUUCAUAGCAUUGGUGGCAGGGGGGGAUAAUUUUAGAUGGUACAAGAUCACAA
Molecule: long non-coding RNA, 653 nt
Filed under: Fukomys damarensis (Damara mole-rat)
Lineage: Eukaryota; Metazoa; Chordata; Mammalia; Rodentia; Bathyergidae
Description: lncRNA (ENSFDAG00000030070.1)
Source: RNAcentral